Molecule: unclassified non-coding RNA, 250 nt
Filed under: uncultured fungus
Lineage: Eukaryota; Fungi
Description: sequence contains ITS1
Source: RNAcentral
UUGUUUUUUUUUGUUUGUUUGAAAGUAAUAAAAAAUAUAAAAGAGUAUAUCUUCGGUAGGUACUAGCCCGCAAAAGCCGACUUUAGGCCUACCGAAGCAACUUGACUUUUAAGCAAGGGUGAAGAGUGUUUCGGUUUACCCAAAACUUACUCGGUAAUGAUCCUUCCGCAGGUUCACUGUAAAACGUUAGCAUUGCUCAGUAAAGGUUGUGUUUUACACAAGGUUGGGAGGAAAACUCACCCUACGGAAA